Molecule: microRNA precursor, 59 nt
Filed under: Nippostrongylus brasiliensis
Lineage: Eukaryota; Metazoa; Nematoda; Chromadorea; Rhabditida; Heligmosomidae
Description: mir-255 microRNA precursor family
Rfam family: mir-255 microRNA precursor family
Source: Rfam by way of RNAcentral
GUAAGAAAUCUGUUUCUAGUUCUCCGCAAUACGCGCAAAACUGAAAAGAUUUUUUACAG